GAUGAACGCUGGCGGCGUGCCUAAUACAUGCAAGUCGAGCGAACAGACGAGGAGCUUACUCCUCUGACGUUAGCGGCGGACGGGUGAGUAACACGUGGAUAACCUACCUAUAAGACUGGGAUAACUUCGGGAAACCGGAGCUAAUACCGGAUAACAUGUUGAACCGCAUGGUUCAACAGUGAAAGACGGUCUUGCUGUCACUUAUAGAUGGAUCCGCGUCGCAUUAGCUAGUUGGUAAGGUAACGGCUUACCAAGGCAACGAUGCGUAGCCGACCUGAGAGGGUGAUCGGCCACACUGGAACUGAGACACGGUCCAGACUCCUACGGGAGGCAGCAGUAGGGAAUCUUCCGCAAUGGGCGAAAGCCUGACGGAGCAACGCCGCGUGAGUGAAGAAGGUCUUCGGAUCGUAAAACUCUGUUAUUAGGGAAGAACAAAUGUGUAAGUAACUAUGCACGUCUUGACGGUACCUAAUCAGAAAGCCACGGCUAACUACGUGCCAGCAGCCGCGGUAAUACGUAGGUGGCAAGCGUUAUCCGGAAUUAUUGGGCGUAAAGCGCGCGUAGGCGGUUUUUUAAGUCUGAUGUGAAAGCCCACGGCUCAACCGUGGAGGGUCAUUGGAAACUGGAAAACUUGAGUGCAGAAGAGGAAAGUGGAAUUCCAUGUGUAGCGGUGAAAUGCGCAGAGAUAUGGAGGAACACCAGUGGCGAAGGCGACUUUCUGGUCUGUAACUGACGCUGAUGUGCGAAAGCGUGGGGAUCAAACAGGAUUAGAUACCCUGGUAGUCCACGCCGUAAACGAUGAGUGCUAAGUGUUAGGGGGUUUCCGCCCCUUAGUGCUGCAGCUAACGCAUUAAGCACUCCGCCUGGGGAGUACGACCGCAAGGUUGAAACUCAAAGGAAUUGACGGGGACCCGCACAAGCGGUGGAGCAUGUGGUUUAAUUCGAAGCAACGCGAAGAACCUUACCAAAUCUUGACAUCCUCUGACCCCUCUAGAGAUAGAGUUUUCCCCUUCGGGGGACAGAGUGACAGGUGGUGCAUGGUUGUCGUCAGCUCGUGUCGUGAGAUGUUGGGUUAAGUCCCGCAACGAGCGCAACCCUUAAGCUUCGUUGCCAUCAUUAAGUUGGGCACUCUAAGUUGACUGCCGGUGACAAACCGGAGGAAGGUGGGGAUGACGUCAAAUCAUCAUGCCCCUUAUGAUUUGGGCUACACACGUGCUACAAUGGACAAUACAAAGGGUAGCGAAACCGCGAGGUCAAGCAAAUCCCAUAAAGUUGUUCUCAGUUCGGAUUGUAGUCUGCAACUCGACUACAUGAAGCUGGAAUCGCUAGUAAUCGUAGAUCAGCAUGCUACGGUGAAUACGUUCCCGGGUCU
RNAcentral lists this ribosomal RNA (1372 nucleotides) under uncultured bacterium. Its description in RNAcentral is "bacterial SSU rRNA". It matches the Rfam family "Bacterial small subunit ribosomal RNA", at positions 28 to 1381 of the family's 1533-position model. The record is from RNAcentral.